This 446-nucleotide ribosomal RNA is filed under the name uncultured bacterium. Its description in RNAcentral is "partial 16S ribosomal RNA". It matches the Rfam family "Bacterial small subunit ribosomal RNA", at positions 330 to 792 of the family's 1533-position model. The record is from RNAcentral.
ACCAGACUCCUACGGGAGGCAGCAGUGGGGAAUAUUGCACAAUGGGGGAAACCCUGAUGCAGCAACGCCGCGUGAGUGAAGAAGUAUUUCGGUAUGUAAAGCUCUAUCAGCAGGGAAGAAGAAAGACGGUACCUGACUAAGAAGCCCCGGCUAACUACGUGCCAGCAGCCGCGGUAAUACGUAGGGGGCAAGCGUUAUCCGGAUUUACUGGGUGUAAAGGGGGCGCAGACGGCGAUGCAAGCCAGGAGUGAAAGCCCGGGGCCCAACCCCGGGACUGCUCUUGGAACUGCGUGGCUGGAGUGCAGGAGGGGCGGGCGGAAUUCCUGGUGUAGCGGUGAAAUGCGUAGAUAUCAGGAGGAACACCGGUGGCGAAGGCGGCCUACUGGACUGUAACUGACGUUGAGGCUCGAAAGCGUGGGGAGCAAACAGGAUUAGAUACCCGAGUA